RNAcentral lists this ribosomal RNA (468 nucleotides) under uncultured bacterium. RNAcentral describes it as "partial 16S ribosomal RNA". It matches the Rfam family "Bacterial small subunit ribosomal RNA", at positions 28 to 507 of the family's 1533-position model. The record is from RNAcentral.
GACGAACGCUGGCGGCGUGCUUAACACAUGCAAGUCGAACGGAAAGGCCCUGCUUUUGUGGGGUGCUCGAGUGGCGAACGGGUGAGUAACACGUGAGUAACCUGCCCUUGACUUUGGGAUAACUUCAGGAAACUGGGGCUAAUACCGGAUAGGAGCUCCUGCUGCAUGGUGGGGGUUGGAAAGUUUCGGCGGUUGGGGAUGGACUCGCGGCUUAUCCGCUUGUUGGUGGGGUAGUGGCUUACCAAGGCUUUGACGGGUAGCCGGCCUGAGAGGGUGACCGGGCACAUUGGGACUGAGAUACGGCCCAGACUCCUACGGGAGGCAACAGUGGGGAAUAUUGCACAAUGGGCGGAAGCCUGAUGCAGCAACGCCGCGUGCGGGAUGACGGCCUUCGGGUUGUAAACCGCUUUCGCCUGUGACGAAGCGUGAGUGACGGUAAUGGGUAAAGAAGCACCGGCUAACUACGUG